GCGGCGUUGAACGCCAAACCUUCAGGACAAUCGAAUGUGAAACCACGCCCGGCAGCGCAGUUCAUGAAUUGCCCGCAGUGCGUGGCGUCGCCCAAACGGAAGUAGCCAUAUUGAUGCGGGCAUUCUUCGGUUGGCUGAGCAGUACGUCCGGCACAAUCAACAUCGAUGGGAUAUUGACAUGGAUAUCCACGUACUUCUGGAUUGAAGAGCAGACCAUCUGGACAUAGUUUUUCUUCACCGACACCAUCUUUACAUUCAAUAUAACUACAAAAACAUGAAAUUAAACACAAAAACAACAAAUUUAUCAAAACUAUAAAUUACCCAUCACAAGUCGAUGUUGGAAAAGUUCCAUUACGUUCCGGACAACUCACACCACCACCGCCAAGGGGCGCUGCAGGCGCAUUAUUGUAAUUUGUAUUAUAGUUCUGUUGAUUACCGCCGAAUCUUUGACAGUGCGCUGCAACCAAACAAGCAAAUUAUAAACUAUAAACGUGACGUAAAAGCAAAUUAUGUAAAUUAGCGCAACAUCCUUCAUUUGUCUUUUUUGUGUGUGACCUUUACUAAACCAUUAUUAUACACAUUGUACAAAAUGUUUAUUUAGAUGUAAUUGGAUGAUUAAAUCAUCAAAAUACUAGUUUAUACAAUUUGUAAAAUGGAUGUUAAUAUUGUUAUAAAUGUCAAACUUUCACAUACUGUGAAUCUUGUGCAUCUUCAUCUACCAGUCUUUGUGUUGUACAACAUGGAUCGAUUUGAAAUGUUACUCCUUGACAUUUUUAAACCUGUAUAGCUUCAACUAGUUUUAAGCAUAGAAAUACAUUUAUAAAACCUUCUCCAUUAAAAUUUUAAGUAAUUUUAAACUAAAAUUAAUCGCCAAUUGUAAUUUUUACUUUGUUUGAUAAAUUAAAUUUGAUAUUGCACAAUAUAAUUCAGUUUACGAUCGA
Long non-coding RNA from Dalotia coriaria, 941 nucleotides. RefSeq lists it as uncharacterized. NCBI's taxonomy places the organism in Eukaryota, Metazoa, Arthropoda, Insecta, Coleoptera, Staphylinidae. The record is from RefSeq and is a predicted model, not a curated record. The transcript has 2 exons.